AUCAGCUUAAGCUUGACAAAAAUGAGUAUUGUAAUAUAAUCUCUAAAAAUAUAGACAGUCAUCUUGCACAAUCUUGCCAAUUUUCCUGCUAAAGAUGAUUAAAAAGUUUCAGUAAUUUAACUUGGAAAGACAAAAUAAUGUUUUAUACAAAGAAAAGACAGGAGAGUUUUCCAACACGGUGCAGAUAAAGAACAGGCUGAACAAAACUAGCCAGUGCAAAACAAAUAAAACCAAAAUAAAACAAAGUUCCUUAAUAUACUGUGAUGACAAAAUAAAAAUGACAAAGAAUCUGGAUAUAGAAAAUGGUGCAGAAAUAAUAAUCAUGGUCACAGUAGCUAUUAGAAUGAGAUGAAAGGCUCUUCUCUUCAGGUUAUGGCUCUGAGAGCAGCCACAAGACAAAACAACUGGAUUGAGAGGAAGAGGAGGAACUGUGUUGAGAAGAACCACAUAUGUACUGUACAAUGUAGUGUGAGAUUAUGGUAAAUAUGCAACACGUGCAGGAUCCAAGAGUGAUUAUCCAGACCACAGUGCAGCAGAUCCUUCUAUAUCUGAGAGAAAAUACAGGACAGGGGGCUUGGAGUUCCAAACUGCAUGUGGGAGUACAUAGCCACUAGGCAGUCUCACCUAAUCAACAUGCUAAACUGUGAUGAUGUCAUCGUGGUGCGAAUGGCCAGAGCAUCCUUGUUGCUAGAUUUAAAAAGACGGAAGUUGCCACACACAUACGGUGGGGAAGACAGCUUCCUGGGUUUUAAAAGAAAGACCAAUGGAAAGCUGGAUGGAUGGGCACAGGGAUUUGAUGUGUCAUCAGACCGGCCUUAAACGACCUAUGCUGGAGGACAGGUACUGAACUGAAGUGGACCUCCCACUACCAACCUGUAGAGGUCUCUGAUGCAGUCGUAGAGGACCCAUCUGUCAUUGUGGAAGCCAUAACAACAUUGUUCACCUGCUCCAGCCUAAAACAUCAAGACAGACUCUAUUGUCUAUUCAAAGAGCCCAAAAUAUGGAGUACUGGUCCAAUCUAAAACUCCAGGGAAAGCAGGCAAAACUGCCCUGCCACUCUGUAUCACACACCAUUUACAGCAAUGCCACCAUCAGUGAGGAGAUUCUCACUUUCUGUGUAAAAGCACGUCUACAGGUUCUUCCUACAAAAUACAACCUAUCACUGUGGUUUCCCUCCAGCCAUUACCCCCUCUGCCUGCUGCAUAACCCUCCUCAACACCUGGAGUCAGUAGCCCUCAUCAUGAACAGCUGUUCAUCAUUUAAAGAACUAUAUACUGCCAGACAUGACAGAUUGUGGACCUCAUUGCUGCUCAGAUUCCCUGCAUGGCUGAUGAGCAGAUCUUUAAACACACUACUGUACAGUCUGAAUGGUUUAACUCACCUGCAAACACUUUUCUAGUAAUUGCUAAUACACCAGAUAUUGUUAACAUCUCUCAGAAUGGCAAAACAGUUACACUAUUUUAGGUGUCAUGUGCAUUUGACUUGUUUAUGGAGGAUUCUUACUGAGACUUUAAGACUUUAAAAUAUCAAUCAUUGAUAUCUACCAUUGAGAACUGUAUUAUCCAUAACAAUGUGUGGAUUUGCUUUAAUCUGUUGGAUCAUUCUAAAAAUUUGAUUCCUAAUGAAAUUUGACUUGUAAUGUGGAAUCAAAUAAAGUAUAAAUACAGUAUAUGCAUGAACCAUGAAAAUAUUAGAAGCAGAUAUAAACUUGAUAAAGAUGGAUCGCCUUGUGGGUGAACAUAGAAAAAUAAAUAAAUACAUAAAUAAAUAAAAUAGACUCUAAACAUUCCAAGUGAAAAUUCCAUGUUGAAUGCUUGCAACACCUCAUUUACAUAAUGCAAAAAUGCCAGUGAUGCAUUAGCAAUAAAGCAAUUUAUUGGAAAACAAAUGCCAGCAAAUAACCAUUACAUUUACAUAGAAUAGAUUUAAUCUGAAUCCCUUAUGAAACAAACAAAAAAAUAUAUAUAUGGUAAUAUACUGCAAAAUAUAAUGCAAUAUAUUACAUAAUACAUUUCUAUCUAUUGGAAACUAGUGCUUAUAUUUUUCAACAAACAGCAAUAUAUACUUUGACAAUAUAUAGCAAUUUAUUGAUGUAUACAUAUGGUAUAUUUAGAAAUGGAGAGAAAAAUAAAUAUUAAUUGUUUG
This is a long non-coding RNA of Cyprinus carpio carpio, 2145 nucleotides long. NCBI's taxonomy places the organism in Eukaryota, Metazoa, Chordata, Actinopteri, Cypriniformes, Cyprinidae. The record is from Ensembl.